Molecule: microRNA precursor, 57 nt
Filed under: Panagrellus redivivus
Lineage: Eukaryota; Metazoa; Nematoda; Chromadorea; Rhabditida; Panagrolaimidae
Description: microRNA prd-mir-7951 precursor
Source: miRBase by way of RNAcentral
CGAUCCCUUUCUGACUUUAACAUAGUUGGUCAUUUGCAAAGACAGGUAAGGGAUUUG